This 847-nucleotide ribosomal RNA is filed under the name uncultured eukaryote. RNAcentral's name for it is "SSU rRNA". It matches the Rfam family "Eukaryotic small subunit ribosomal RNA", at positions 583 to 1457 of the family's 1831-position model. The record is from RNAcentral.
UCCCAGCUCCAAUAGCGUAUAUUAAAGUUGUUGCAGUUAAAAAGCUCGUAGUCGGAUUUCGGGUCGGGCCGAGCGGUCUGCCGAUGGGUAUGCACUGUUUGGCGCGGCCUUCUUUCCGGAGACCGCGGCUACUCUUAACUGAGCGGGCGUGGGAGACGGAUCGUUUACUUUGAAAAAAUCAGAGUGUUUCUAGCAGGCAGCUCGCUCUUGCAUAGGUUAGCAUGGGAUAAUUUAAUAGGACUCUGGUGCUAUUUUGUUGGUUUCGAACACCGGAGUAAUGAUUAAAAGGGGCAGUCAGGGGCACUCGUAUUCCGUCGAGAGAGGUGAAAUUCUCAGACCAAUGGAAGACGAACCACUGCGAAAGCAUUUGCCAGGGAUGUUUUCACUGAUCAAGAACGAAAGUUAGGGGAUCGAAGACGAUCAGAUACCGUCGUAGUCUUAACCAUAAACCAUGCCGACUAGGGAUUGGAGGGUGUUCGUUUCGACCUCUUCAGCACCUUACGGGAAACUAAAGUCUUUGGGUUCCGGGGGGAGUAUGGUCGCAAGGCUGAAACUUAAAGGAAUUGACGGAAGGGCACCACCAGGAGUGGAGCCUGCGGCUUAAUUUGACUCAACACGGGGAAACUUACCAGGUCCAGACAUUGUUAGGAUUGACAGAUUGAGAGCUCUUUCUUGAUUCGAUGGGUGGUGGUGCAUGGCCGUUCUUAGUUGGUGGAGUGAUUUGUCUGGUUAAUUCCGUUAACGAACGAGACCGUAGCCUGCUAAAUAGUUCCGCGAACUUCUUGUUGGCGGUCGACUUCUUAGAGGGACAACUUGUGACCAACAAGUGGAAGUUUGCGGCAAUAAC